Small nuclear RNA from Scleropages formosus (Asian bonytongue), 118 nucleotides. Its record names the gene U5. It matches the Rfam family "U5 spliceosomal RNA". Rfam says of the family: U5 RNA is a component of both types of known spliceosome. The precise function of this molecule is unknown, though it is known that the 5' loop is required for splice site selection and p220 binding, and that both the 3' stem-loop and the Sm site are important for Sm protein binding and cap methylation. Lineage: Eukaryota; Metazoa; Chordata; Actinopteri; Osteoglossiformes; Osteoglossidae. The record is from Ensembl.
CACCUCAGGUUUCCCUUCAAAACACACAAAUCUUUCGCCUUUUAUUAAAGAUUUCCGUGGAGAGAAACGCACUUGAGUUUCGAUGUUAUUUUUGGAGGCCUCAUCUCCCGGAGCGGGU